GGCCUGUUGGUGAAGCGGUUUAACACGUUGCCCUCUCAAGGCAAUAUUCAUGGGUUCAAUUCCCAUACAGGUCACCA
RNAcentral lists this transfer RNA (77 nucleotides) under Mycoplasmatota bacterium. RNAcentral's name for it is "Tenericutes bacterium (anaerobic digester metagenome) tRNA-Glu". It matches the Rfam family "tRNA". Rfam says of the family: Transfer RNA (tRNA) molecules are approximately 80 nucleotides in length. The record is from RNAcentral. Lineage: Bacteria; Bacillati; Mycoplasmatota.